GCAGCACGCCGCGUGCGGGAUGAAGGCCUUCGGGCUGUAAACCGCUUUCAGCAGGAACGAAAAUGACGGUACCUGCAGAAGAAGGAGCGGCCAACUACGUGCCAGCAGCCGCGGUGACACGUAGGCUCCAAGCGUUGUCCGGAUUUAUUGGGCGUAAAGAGCUCGUAGGCGGUUGAGUAAGUCGGGUGUGAAAACUCUGGGCUUAACCCGGAGACGCCAUCCGAUACUGCUCUGACUAGAGUUCAGGAGGGGAGUGGGGAAUUCCUAGUGUAGCGGUGAAAUGCGCAGAUAUUAGGAGGAACACCGGUGGCGAAGGCGCCACUCUGGACUGAAACUGACGCUGAGGAGCGAAAGCAUGGGUAGCAAACAGGAUUAGAUACCCUGGUAGUCCAUGCCGUAAACGGUGGGCACUAGGUGUGGGUUCCAACUAACGGGAUCCGCGCCGUCGCUAACGCAUUAAGUGCCCCGCCUGGGGAGUACGGUCGCAAGACUA
This 493-nucleotide ribosomal RNA is filed under the name uncultured Actinomycetes bacterium. RNAcentral's name for it is "bacterial SSU rRNA". It matches the Rfam family "Bacterial small subunit ribosomal RNA", at positions 388 to 896 of the family's 1533-position model. Lineage: Bacteria; Bacillati; Actinomycetota; Actinomycetes. The record is from RNAcentral.